UUUUUCCAUAUAUAUAUAUAUAUAUAUAUAUAUAUGAAAUCCUUUUGUAGAAUUUAUUUCAAAUAUUUCCAUUUUACAAAGUUUAUGCAGUUUCACGUCCUUCUCUACUGUUCAUUCACAUUUUGUGGAAUUUUAGGGGUGUCAACAAGCCAAGCUAGCUUGCGAGUUGGCUCAGCUUGGCUUGUAAUGAACCAAGCUUGAACAAUAUUCUGUAGCUUGACAAGCCUGGCCAAACCAAGCCAAUCUGGAUGGCUAGUUUAUUAAUCAAGCCAAGCUGAAGUUGAGGAACUGUACCUUGAGCACGGGUUGAGCUUGUUUUUUAUAUUGUAUGUAAUUAAUUGAGAUCAUAUUUACAAAUGCAAAUUUUAAAAACAGAUGUUGCCCAGAAGAAUGGCUUAUGCUUGGCUUGUUUAUCGGUUGACUUGGCUUGUUGCUUGAUUACUGGCUUGUUUAGGACUUGAGUUGGCUUUUCAUGGGCUCACUUAAGGAGACGAGCUGAACGAAGCUCAAGCUUCCGGCCCCUAAUCAAUCCAAGCUCAAGCUGGGUAGUUCAAUCUCUGAGUCAACCUCAAGCAUCUUCCACCGUGCAAGCCAAGCGUGAACAUGUCCAAGCUCAGCUGUGGGGUGUCUGUGUCCUUUUGUUUUUCUAUGUUUCAUACUUUAUGAAACUGUGUUCAUUGCUUAAGUUAUGAAAUGAAUGCCAUCACUUAAAAAGAUAGUGCCUAAUGCUUCGUCUACUUUUGUUUGAAUACUUCUCCAUGCUCUUUGUUACGUGUGUAUUUGAUUCAUGCAUGUUGUUACUUUUUUUAGAAAAUCUUUAUUGCCAUGCCUUUAUAGAGUCUCAUUUUGAAUCAAAGAGCUACAUAUGGGACAUUUCCAUCAUUCAUAUUAAGUUCUCUCAAAGCUUAUAAUAUUAACUGGCUGAUUUUCUCUUUAUGUUGCUGAUAUUUUUUAGUAGGUGGUUUGGGUGAACUGCAUUUUAAUGAAAGAGGUGCUCCACUAUUUUCUGGGGAUCCAUUUAUCACAGGAGAUUCUUCUAUGGUUUGAUGUCUUUGCUUCCAUUUACAGGGGCUUUAGCUGUGAGUUUGUAGGAGAGAAAUUUCUUGCAUGCAAGAGUCUCUUGUGUGCGUAUACUUGAAGAUGACUAUUGAUGCUGUGUGGGUGGAAUAUAUGUGAAGAAGCUGCAUGACUGGUCAACACCUGUCUAUGCAUCACUUGUUGAGUGCGAACUUGUAUGCAUGAAGUUCAUGAUGCCAGUCAUACAUGAAAUUGAAAUGAAGCACACCAUGUCAACUUAAUCUUGUGCUUGUGAGAUCAAGUCCAUAUAUAUUGGAUGUUUAGAUUCAUUUGCCAUCUGGGUCCUUUGAGAAACACAUGGGAGUACAAGACUCAGAAUAGAAAUGAAUCAGCUAUUUGUGGCAGAUUGCUUGUGAAGUUUCAUGGUGAAGGAAAGGAGAAACAGGUCAAGAGAGGCGAUUCUAAACCGAUCAUAAGUCAGGGGGGCUUUCCAACAUGAUCUAAAAGGGCGCACACGUGAGCCAGCCCGAGUGUGUCACGGACUCACGUGAGGUAUGUCCCGCCUCACGAUCCAAAUUCCUCAUUAGUUGGAUAUAUGCCCUUGUUCUUAAACACGGUUAUCGAGAGAGCGAUCUUAGGUCCCGGGCUCCGAACCCGAGACACGUGUCACCCGAUUACCUAGAUCCGGGAAGGUGAGAUCGAGGCACCUAACCACAUACUUUCCUGUAGUUCGCAGCAUUAUUAGUCACUACUGAGGCAGUAUUUUCAGGUCCAACCUCAUCUACAAUUUUGUCCACGUGUGUGCAUAUCAGUCUUUCAUCUUUCAUGAUGGUCACUCUUGUACCUGAUCAACAGACCUUGAACUGUGCAAUAUGCUUAUCGACAUCAUGAACAGCAGCUUUUAAACAUGGCUUUGCAAGAGCCUUUGUAGUUGGACCUCUACCACCCAGCCCUGCCUCAGUCCAAAGGGUUCGUGGGUCAUUGGUGGAACAUUUAUUGGUUCAUGUCGUUGAGUAGUAGAUGACUGACUAUAAAAGGAUGGGCGACUAGAGAAACUACGUCUCAAUCUACUAAAUGUGUACUUAAGCAAUGAAGGCAUGUAUCCUCCCUUACCCGGUACUGCAGGUUGUUGCGGCCAACGGCUACUGGAUGUACCAUCCUUUCCCCCAUACAUCUCUUGAAUUUCCAUUUGUCUAUAAUUCAGUUCUUGGAGGCUGGCAAUCCUAGUUCGUUCCAUUUGCGUCUCGAACUUUGCUCCUUGGUCUUCAUCCUCAUCUAUUGGACUUUCUUAUCCCCUCA
This is a non-coding RNA of Amborella trichopoda, 2316 nucleotides long. The record is from RefSeq and is a predicted model, not a curated record. Lineage: Eukaryota; Viridiplantae; Streptophyta; Magnoliopsida; Amborellales; Amborellaceae.